CCUACGGGAGGCAGCAGUGAGGAAUAUUGGUCAAUGGACGAGAGUCUGAACCAGCCAAGUAGCGUGAAGGAUGACUGCCCUACGGGUUGUAAACUUCUUUUAUAUAGGAAUAAAAUGUUACACGUGUGGGUUUUUGUAUGUACUAUAUGAAUAAGGAUCGGCUAACUCCGUGCCAGCAGCCGCGGUAAUACGGAGGAUCCGAGCGUUAUCCGGAUUUAUUGGGUUUAAAGGGAGCGUAGGUGGGUUGUUAAGUCAGUUGUGAAAGUUUGCGGCUCAACCGUAAAAUUGCAGUUGAUACUGGCAGUCUUGAGUACAGUAGAGGUGGGCGGAAUUCGUGGUGUAGCGGUGAAAUGCUUAGAGAUCACGAAGAACUCCGAUUGCGAAGGCAGCUCACUAAACUGCAACUGACACUGAGGCUCGAAAGUGUGGGUAUCAAACAGGAUUAGAUACCCGAGUAGUC
This 460-nucleotide ribosomal RNA is filed under the name uncultured bacterium. RNAcentral describes it as "partial 16S ribosomal RNA". It matches the Rfam family "Bacterial small subunit ribosomal RNA", at positions 338 to 795 of the family's 1533-position model. The record is from RNAcentral.